GACGAACGCUGGCGGCGUGCUUAACACAUGCAAGUCGAACGAUGAACCACUUCGGUGGGGAUUAGUGGCGAACGGGUGAGUAACACGUGGGCAAUCUGCCCUUCACUCUGGGACAAGCCCUGGAAACGGGGUCUAAUACCGGAUAACACUGUCACGGGCAUCUGUGGUGGUUAAAAGCUCCGGCGGUGAAGGAUGAGCCCGCGGCCUAUCAGCUUGUUGGUGAGGUAAUGGCUCACCAAGGCGACGACGGGUAGCCGGCCUGAGAGGGCGACCGGCCACACUGGGACUGAGACACGGCCCAGACUCCUACGGGAGGCAGCAGUGGGGAAUAUUGCACAAUGGGCGAAAGCCUGAUGCAGCGACGCCGCGUGAGGGAUGACGG
RNAcentral lists this ribosomal RNA (382 nucleotides) under uncultured bacterium. RNAcentral describes it as "bacterial SSU rRNA". It matches the Rfam family "Bacterial small subunit ribosomal RNA", at positions 28 to 414 of the family's 1533-position model. The record is from RNAcentral.